RNAcentral lists this non-coding RNA (21 nucleotides) under Arabidopsis thaliana (thale cress). Lineage: Eukaryota; Viridiplantae; Streptophyta; Magnoliopsida; Brassicales; Brassicaceae. The record is from RNAcentral.
UCCUGACACGGGGAGGUAGUG